UUUCAUUGAUAUCUUAUAAUCUUCUAUAUCGUAGUAUACUUUUAAGAAAUAAUCGAAUAAUGUUUAUUUGGAAAAUUAUAUAGAAAUAAGAAAAAAACUAUAUAUAUCAAAAGAAUUGUAGGAGACUUAAAAAUAUCGAUGUUAAAAAAAAGGGAAACUAAGAAAAUGAGAAAAUGGUGGGGGUAUCAAAAAAUUUGGUCAAAGCAAUAACAUUUAAAAUAGAAAAGAAAAUUAAAAACAUAAAUUUAAAAUAAUCUCAAACUUUACACAAUAUCUUGGGUACACCCGGGUAUACCGUAUAGUCGGGUUGACCCGUAACCAAAAUAGUGUUAUUUAUAUGGUUUGGGUUAGGAUAUGGAUUCAAAUCAGAGUACGAGUCAAAGUGCAACUCAGUUAUACGGUACACUCCGGUGUACCCAAGAUCACCUCUAAACUUUAAUCGAUCAUAUUUUUCAUAUUUUAAACUAGUUUUUUUUACAAAUUAUACAUCAAUAAAUUUUUUUAUCACAAUCUUUAAUAUAAUGCAUAUUACAAAUUUUAUUUAAAAUUAAAUAACCCAAUUUCUGGAAAUAAAGAGCAAAAAAAAAAAAUAGCCGGAAAAAUGAAAUUAAAAGAAAUCUUUUUCUUUGGCAUGGGCAAAGCAACAAAUUAUGGUUGGUUUCGUUCUAGAACUUGGAGUGACUGUUCAAGCAUUUUUUUAAUAAGACUGUUGAAUUAAAAUUGAUUGCAUAUCUGUAAAAGAUUAUAGUGAUUUUUAAGGAUGCAAAUCCAUGAUUUAUUUCCUAAUUCAAUAGUGUAUAGAAGGCAAAAAUCAAAAAACUUGUCACAUUUAAUAAAAUAUAACCGAUAAUAUAUGAAAGGGGCAAAUCAGCCAUGAUCGUAAAUCUAUUUAUUAUUAAAUAGAAUACAUUUUUGAGAGCCCACAUUCAUUCUCUAUCCUAGGUGGCGCUCUCAAUAAUCUCCAUUCUCUUUUUUCUAAUUUCUACAUUUUACUCAUUUUCAAUAAUAAUUAAAUAUACAUAUAUUAUUUGAUUCAUCAUUAAUUUCCCAUCAUUGACAUCAAUUAGUUAUCAUCUUGCAUUUGGAAAGAUAAAAUUUAUGCUCAUUAAUUAAAACCUUCCUUAUAUAAUGGCAUCAAUUACUUUUCAUAUUUUAUACGAUAUUAGUUAUAUUCUAAUUUAAAAUGCAUCGUGUUCAAGGAUUUAUGCUUUAAUAUAUUAUUGCUUUUUUAUACAGAUCUAUAAUAUUAUUUAUUUAUACUCUAAUAACAUAAGUCAUUUAUAUUUUUCAUAUUUUAUACUAUAAUAUUGGCUCUAUAUAAGCUUCAACCAAAGCAAAUCAAAUGCAUCAUGUUCAAAGUUUCACAAUAAAAUAUGAUAGUAAGGCCAAAUUGUCGUUUUUCAAAACAUUCAUUAGUGUUCUUUUAGUUUUUUUAAUUCACCUUUUGGAAAUGAUAUUUCUUUAAUUGAUAUUAUUCUAAUUAUUCAUUAAUAUUUAUCAAUCAGCUAAUUAAUUGGCAUGUUACGAAACAUAAUUUGUGGCAAUAUUAAUUACAUUAAUAAAUUUUCCUUUUUUAUACUACUUUUCACCUAUAAAUUAUACUAGAAUUUUGCAACCAAUUUCAUCCACAAUAUUAGUUCUUUAUGCAUCUUCAUUCUCUUUUCCUAUUCAGCAGCUGCGAAUGCUAUGAUAUAUAUUGUAUUGUGUGUUAGCAAAUUAAGAUGAUUCUGAAAGUCUCAAGAGAAAAAAGAAUUUUCUCAUAAAUAAGAGAUCUCAAGGAUUCUUGUUGAAGCAGAAGCUCUAGAUCUUAGUCUUAGCAAGGAAACCAUCACAAAUUGCUUACAUUGUAAAAAAAAGUAUAAAACUCCAUCUAAAGAGAAUAAUGUCUCCAAAUGUUGGUUUGAUGUAUCAUUUUCAAAUAGAUUUGAGAGAUAUAGAUUAAUGGCAUGUUGUACAAUAUAUAAAUCUAGAUUUGUGAUUAAUAUGUAUAUCUUGAUUGUUGAUUAAUAUUAAUCAACCAAUAAUAAGAAGUUCCAAAAUAUAGUUUGUGGCAAAAAAUAUUGAUUAUAACAAUAAAUUUUCUAAUUCUAUAUUAUUUUUCUACCUUUAAUUUCUAGAAUUCUUCAAUCAAUUUCACUAACAUUUCAUAUUGUCUAUGCUCACUCAUUCAGACAUUUGCAAUUAAAAGAGUAUUUUCAAUAUUAUAUUUGUUGUAUUUUCUUCAUUCAGAGUUUCAGACUUUUCAACCAACCAAUGAAGUAUAUAUUUUCCUUCAUUCCGAUUUUUCAAUUAUAUGUAUUUUCACUCUAAUGGAUUUACAUUUAUUGUUGAAGAAAUAUAUCAUGAAUGCUUUUUCUUAACCUUGUGCUUUCAUGUAUGUAUAGUCAGAUUUUGUUGGUAGUAGUAAUAAGAAGUUGUGUUACUUGUGCAUGUCAGUAUAUAUACUCGAUGAUGUACUAUAGUAAUUGAUAUUCAUUGAAAAAAUUGAAAUACUAAUUAGAAUAUAAUAGACUAAGUAAUUAUUGGGAAACUAAUUAAAAUAGUAGACUAAGUAACUACUUAGAAUUAUAAUAAGAAACUGAAAUUAAUAUUAAAAGGAUAAGGAAACAAAUUACUAUUAGAAAACUAAUUAAAACAUAGUAAUAGAUUAAGUAACUAAUUUGAAAAAUAAACUAAUCUAUAUAUUAAAUUUAUUAAUUAUAUAUAAAAAUUAAAUAUAUUGAAUGCACUACAUUCAUCCUCAAUUUUAGGUGGCAUCUUCUCCAUUGUCCAUUCUUAGCUAUUAUAAAACCUCUAUCCCACAUGAAAAACAUAUUAAACUUUAACAAUUCAUAAACCUAAAUAAAAUGACAUUCAUCAUUCCUAUAUUAGGCAUUUGUUAUUCAUAUAUUGAUCUUCUAUUAAACUUUAUCAUGGAUAAAUUUGCUAUUCGUGUGGGUUUCACCACAUGGCGAAUCCCCCCCAAUUUUUUAUUAUUAUUUUUUUAAAUCGGAUUUGCGAAUCGGGUGCGCCCAACUCACGAAUCUGGUGCAUUUAGGGUGCAUUGAGGGUUAUUUUGAAUAAUUUCAUUAUUUUUAGGCUCUUUUACAAUUUUUUCAAUUUAUUGCCCUACAAUUAUUUGUGUCUCUUCGAUCCCUCAACAAAGAAGAAUUCAAUUUUAAGAAAUUAUAAUCCUACUAGAUUUUAUUUUCUAAGUUCUAUCAUAAUUAGUAGUAAACUAAUAAAUUAAAUAAUUAUAAGAAUACAAGUGGCAGAUUGAAAUGCUUUAUCUUGCAAUUUCAGCUAUUAUAUGUAUUUUAUUUCUUAAUAUUUGACUUAUAUUUGCAAUGCAACAUUUAAUUUAUGAAUGUUCUUUUCUUUUUUUCAAUUUGAUUGGUCAUAUAUAAUAAAAUAUAUAAAUAUAACAGACGUAUCCUUCACGAAUCGCAUCGAUCCUAUAUGUUUUGAAAAUCUGUAUCCCCACACCCGAAUCGUAUCGCUCCCGCACGCGCCCCCUCGCACCUGUACAACAUAGAGUAUCAUGUUAGUUGAUAUUUCUAUUUGAAUUUUUUUAUUAUUUUAAUUCUUUGUUAUUUAUACAUUAAUAAUUAAUGUAUAUUUUGUAUUGUUCGAAUUUUGGUUGAGAUGUAUAAUCAACUAAUCUAACAAAGUAUAUUUGAUUAUUUAGCUAUUUUAUAAAAUGAAAAUGUAUAGUAACAACUAAUUUUUUAUUAAUUCUCUAAUUAUUACGGGUAUGAAUUUGUAAAUUCUCAAUGAGUUUCAUCGCAAAUAUAUACUUUGAAUUUGAUUAUUUAUAUUUUCUUAUUCAUAUUAUUAAUAUACCAUAGUUGUUACAAGUUAUUUGAUUGUGUAGAUUUUUAUAAAAUUUAAACUGGUUCGACAAAUUGGCAUAUAUUACUAUAUGAGUCAAGAAUGGAUAGUAAAAUCACUUACUAAUAGAGGUUUGAACUAAUAAAAUUACAUAUAUAAAUGAAAUAUCUAAACUGAUUAGAGUUCUAUUUGUUAGAGAGUUGACAAUUGAAGUUAUGGUUGAAUAUAUAUAAUUUCAUAUUUGAUGAUGUGAUGCUCAAAACUCUAGACGAGAUGAUGCUCUUUCAAGUUUCAGAUAAGAUGAUGCUCAUAAGUUAGAGGUGAUCUGUCAAGUUUGAGACGAGAUGAUGCCCACAACUUGAUUGCUUUUAAAACUCCAAAUGAUUUAUUUGAUGUUCGAUAACUCAGUUAUGAACUUUUAAACAUCAAGGCAGAGUCAUUGUUGAGCUACUGAGCAUUAGAGCGACCGAAGCCAUUGAUGGUCUGUUUGCAGCAUUUUCUUGAACACACAACAGUCCCAUGUGCAUACAUCUCAACAUGUCACGUACAAAACCCGCACCAUUCGUCAGCACGGGAUCUAUCAUAUUUGCAGCUGUCCCUUCUCGCCAGUUCUUCCAUGUCUGUGAAUGUGUGGCCAUUAGUUGCAAUACAACCAUUCUACUAAUUAACAUUGAUAGAUAUGAUGGUACUUACAAGAGUCAAGAGGUCCUCUGUACUGUCCCCAUUUUGGAUACAAUAGAGGCUGGGUCGGGGGGUAAUAGAGGCUUGGGUGUGGGGUGGUGGAGCGGCUCCUGGAGUUAAGUCGGGGGAGAAGGACAAAUGGCUUAGAGAGAACCUUGCUUUGAGAAUUGGGGAGGGUAAUCAACUGAGUUUUUGGAAUCAUUGUUGGGCGGGGGGUAGAACUUUGGCGGAAGAGUUUCCACGACUCUUUCACCUUAGCGCUCACUGGGAAGGUAGCGCUCACCGGGCAGGGGGUAGAACUUUGGAAUCAUUCUGGUACCAUGUGCAAUGAAAAAAAAUUCCUUGCCUAAGACAAAAAAAAAAAACUCCCUCCGUUCACGAAAGAACUUUCUAUCUUUUCUUUUUGGGACGCCUCCAAAAAUACUUCCUACCUAUUUUUUUACUAUGCUCCACCACUUAUAAUUACUCUUACUUUUCACUUUUCACAACUCUCAAUAUUAAUUAGUAUAACAUUUUUNGACAAUUAAUACAAAUUUUACUGUUAAAUAUUUUAUUUUAAAACUAAAUAUUUAUAUAUAAAAUGAACCAAUAUAAAACACAAAACUUAUGUUGGGUCCCGGUGGGUUAACUGAACAGGUGUAUGGAGGAUACACAUGUAGGCUAUUUUCAUGGAAAAUAAACAAACCAAACUUCAGUUGAAAGAUGGUUGUAGACUGAUACUGAAAUAUACUCUCUCCGUCCACGAAAGAACUUCCUAUCUUUCCUUUUUGGGACGUCCACAAAAGAACUUCCUACCUAUUUUUGGACUAUACCCCACCACUUAUAAUCCUCUUACUUUCACUUUUCACAACUCUCAAUAUUAAUUAUAACACAUUUUUCACCACUCUCAAUACACUCAAUUACCUUUUAUCCACUCUCAAUACACUUAACAAUAUUUUUUCUUAAAACCCGUGCCACUCCCUCCUAGAAAGUUCUUUCAUGGACGGAGGGAGUAUAUUAUAUCAAUUUUAAUUUUUUAUUUUUUAUUUUGAUUUCAUUAAUAUCUUAUAAUUUUAUGUAUUAUAAUAUAUUUUUAUGAAAUAAUUGAACGACACGGUCAACACGAGGCACAAUUUUCAUGGCUAUAAUUUGUUAGUAUCAAUUUCAUUGAUAUCUUAUAAUCUUCUCUAUCGUAGUAUACUUUUAAGAAAUAUAAUCGAAUAAUGUUUAUUUGGAAAAUUAUAUAUAAAAAAAAAACUAUAUAUAUCAAAAGAAUUGUAGGAGACUUAAAAAUAUCGAUGUAAAAGGGGGGGGGGGGGGAACUAAGAAAAGGAGAAAAUGGUGGGGGUAUCAAAAAAUUUGGUCAAAGCAAUAACAUUUGAAAUAGAAGAGAAAAUUAAAAAUAAUUAAAAACAUAUAUUUAAAAUAAUCUCAAACUUUACACAAUAUCUUGGGUACACUUGGAUGUACCGUAUAAUCGGGUUGACCCGUACCCAGAAUAGUGUUAUUUAGUAUAUGGUUUGGGUCAGGAUAUGGGUUCAAAUCAAAGUACGAGUCAAAGUGCAACCCAGUUGUACGGUACACUCCGGUGUACCCAAAAUUACCUCUAAACUUUAAUCGAUCAUAUUUUUCAUAUUUUUAACUAGGAGUAUUUUUUUUUACAAAUUAUACAUCAAUAAAUUUUUUUAUCACAAUCUUUAAUAUAAUGCAUAUUACAAAUUUUAUUUUAAAUUAAAUAACCCAAUUUCUGGAAAUAAAGAGCAAAAAUAAGAGAAAAGAAAGAAAUAGCCGGAAAAAUGAAAUUAAAAGAAAACUUUUUCUUUGGCAUGGGCAAAGCAACAAAUUAUGGUUGGUUUCGUUCUAGAACUUGGAGUGACUGUUCAAGCAUUUUAAUAAGACUGUUGAAUUAAAAUUGAUUGCAUAUCUGUAAAAGAUUAUAGUGAUUUUUAAGGAUGCAAAUCCAUGAUUUAUUUCCUAAUUCAAUAGUGUAUAGAAGGCAAAAA
Molecule: long non-coding RNA, 6473 nt
Filed under: Salvia miltiorrhiza (redroot sage)
Lineage: Eukaryota; Viridiplantae; Streptophyta; Magnoliopsida; Lamiales; Lamiaceae
Description: long non-coding RNA (SMIL_LNC006275)
Source: RNAcentral